RNAcentral lists this ribosomal RNA (205 nucleotides) under uncultured bacterium. RNAcentral describes it as "partial 16S ribosomal RNA". It matches the Rfam family "Bacterial small subunit ribosomal RNA", at positions 570 to 774 of the family's 1533-position model. The record is from RNAcentral.
CGUAGGUGGUUGUUUAAGCUGGAUGUGAAAUCCCUGGGCUUAACCUAGGAAUGGCAUACAGGACUGAACGACUGGAGUACUGUAGAGGGUAGUGGAAUUUCCGGUGUAGCGGUGAAAUGCGUAGAGAUCGGAAGGAACACCAGUGGCGAAGGCGGCUACCUGGACAGAUACUGACACUGAGGCGCGAGAGCGUGGGUAGCAAACA